UUGAAGAAGUGAAUUGAACCUAUUAUCAGCGGUUGCCGGUUUGGAGGUUAAAAAAAGUGGAGUUAAGACGUGGAUUGGACUUGAAUGUCAGCGAGAACUGAGAAAUUCACCGUACCCCACUUGAUCCACGAGCCACCCUAUCAAAUUCAUCUUUCCCCCCCUCUUUUCCAAGUGGAGUGUCCUUUUUUAACAAAUCAUGAACUUUUUCGAUGCAAGCCAAGAUGGCCGACGGGAAUCACUAAAAAGAAGAAAUGUAAUUCUAAAAAUUGCCAAAUAAGACAAAGAAAUCACAAGGGUAAAUGCGUCAUUCAGCAUUGGCCUCGCUUUAAAGUACAAAUCCUCGUUCCAGCUCACAAAUGUACAAGUACAUCCACCUCCAAUCCUGGAAGAUGCACAGCUGUAAGGGUAGUAUCGUAAAUAAACCCAAAAUAGCCCCACUUUGCAGCCAUUUUAAUUACAAUAAAUCCAUUGAAGAUCCAACUUUGCCAUCCAGAAACCCCCUUUUUUCCCACCCCGACGACUCCCAAAAAAUAAAUAAAAUAAAUAAAAUUCGGUUAGAGAGAGAAAAUCAAAGAAAAAAAAAAAAACAGAGAAAAUAGAGGAAGAAGAGCAGGCAUUAAUGGCGGAGGGAAAAAGGGAGAAGAAAGCGACGAACGAAGAGAGCGUGAAGCUCUUCGUUGGUCAAGUGCCGAAGCACAUGACGGAAGCUCAACUUCUCGCAAUGUUCAAAGAGUUUGCUUUGGUCGACGAAGUCAACAUCAUCAAAGACAGGGCUACUCGCGCCUCUAGAGGGUGUUGCUUCGUUAUAUGCCCAUCCAGACAAGAGGCCGAUAAGGCGGUCAAUGCCUGUCAUAGUAAGAAGACUUUGCCUGGGGCAUCUAGUCCAUUGCAAGUGAAGUAUGCAGAUGGCGAAUUGGAAAGAUUAGAGCACAAACUCUUUGUUGGCAUGUUGCCAAAGAAUGUCUCGGAAGCUGAAGUUUCUGCUUUAUUUUCUAAAUAUGGAACCAUAAAGGACCUACAGAUUCUAAGAGGUUCUCAACAAACAAGUAAAGGCUGCGCCUUUUUGAAGUACGAGACAAAAGAUCAAGCCCUUGACGCCCUGGAGGCCAUUAACGGAAAGCAUAAAAUGGAGGGUUCUAGUGUCCCUGUCGUUGUCAAAUGGGCAGAUACAGAAAAGGAAAGACAAGCUCGAAGGGCCCAGAAAGCCCAAUCUCAAGCUUCCAAUAUACCAAAUGCUGAUUCACAACAUCAUUCAUUGUUUGGAGCGUUGCCAAUGGGUUAUGUUCCUCCAUAUGGAUAUCAGGCUCCAGGAAGUUAUGGACUGAUGCAGUACCGCUUGCCACCAAUGCAAAAUCAGCCUGCAUUCCACAGUAUGAUUCCUCCAGUAAAUCAAGGAAGUGCAUUGCAAGGAAUAACACCUGACCUAGCUCCCAAUAUUGCUCCUAGAAAUUAUGCUAUGCCUCCUGCAAGUUAUGUGGGCUCACCUUACCCAGCCGUGCCAGGUCUGCAAUACCCCAUGGCAUAUCCUGGGGGAAUCAUGAGCCACCGUCCGUUGAUUGGUUCACCUGGUUCCGUGCCUCAAGCAAAUACAAGCAGUAAUUCUUCAUCAUCUUCCACUGUUGGUACAAAUUCAGGAGGUCAGAUUGAAGGUCCACCUGGUGCAAAUCUGUUUAUUUAUCACAUACCUCAAGAAUUCGGUGAUCAAGAGUUGGCUAACGCUUUUCAAGGAUUUGGUAGGGUCUUAAGUGCAAAGGUUUUUGUUGACAAGGCAACAGGGUUUAGUAAAUGUUUUGGAUUUGUUAGUUACGACUCUCCAGCAGCUGCUCAAAAUGCAAUAAACAUGAUGAAUGGAUACCAAUUAGGUGGUAAGAAACUGAAGGUUCAGCUUAAGAGAGACAACAAACAAAACAAACCUUAUUGAUUGGGAGGUAUUAUAAAAUCAUUUGUGUGAUGAGGCACUAUUAUCUUUGAGGUUUUUGCAUGUGAUUUCCAUUCUGUCCAUCUGGCCAUAUAAUCUCUCCAUGGCUGUCCCCUGCAGAUUUUCAUUGGCUUGGUUCAAGAUGUUGGAGUUAUGUUACCUGGAUCUCAUGCUCUCCUGUUUCAAUUGAGCAUUCUUAUGCCUGAGAAUACCUGCUGUUGCAGGGUAACCGGGACUCAACAUCUCAGGUAUCGCUUGUUGCUUGUAUGUUGAGAAUUCUUUGUACUGGGAUCAAGAAGCAUUACCAACAAUUAAGGCACCAUCUACUGUCAUUUAUGAGAAUCAUCAUCGUGACAUCACUUGGAUUAAAAUUCUAAGUACUGUGGUGUAGGGCUUGGGUAUCACUAAUUCCUGACUCUCUUUUACAAGCCUCACUCAGUUUUCCUAGAAUUAUUUCUGACAUGAUGCCUUUUCCCUGCAUUUUAUAUCCCCGUUGAUUUUAAGCUUGCUUAUUUUUAUUAGUUCAUAACUGCUUUAAAAUGGUAUUUUUAAUGGGCAUCGUGUGGUUUAAGUUUUACUGAAUUUGUAAUAUUGCUGGUUGCUGCAAAUAUCUAGUUGAUAUAAAGAACUAAUUCUUGGGGGUAGACUAUAUUGCUGGUAAAUAUUUUAAAACAUCAUACCUAGAAAAAUAAUAGAAGGCUGAAUACCUGGAAGAGAAAUCUUGCUGUGUGUCUGGGUUCAUUUUAUAUAUUUUGCUUUCACCAUUUACGUUGACAAAAUAUUCUACAUGACACUAUUAGUUUAUUUAGAAAGGUUGAAUUGGAACUUCAGGGGUUAUGUAUUUCUGCAUUGUAUUGCAUUUCCUCAAUUUCAGAAGCAUCAACCAGCUCACCUAAGGAUAAUGUUCAUCUAGUAUCAUUGAAAGUAGUAAAGUAUGUAACUACUGCAAAUGCUCAUAUUUACAGCAUUGCUUAUGCUAAUAUAAAAUCUUGAUUUGUUAUGAGGCUAGGAUGCUAUGUAUUCUGUUGAUUUUUAUGUUGCAAGUUAUAUGAAGUUGAAAUUGCAUGGUUAAGGAUGACUUGAAAGAAAAUGCUUUACUAAUUCUUUGUUACUAUGAAGUUGAAAAAGCUUUACUCCCCACUAAACUGCAAUGGUACUAAAAUUUGGAGUACUGUUUUUGUUAAUUUUUAGCUUCUAGUGGUUUAUCCAACCCUAAUUGAUAUUUAAAUUUCAUUUAUACACUGAUAACGAUCUAUAAAGUAUGUUGAAGCUUCCUGCCCCCAUUUCUUGACGCCGUGUGCUGUUAUGUUUCAUUUUCACUUCCUUCCAAGUGUAUCUUUUCUUUGUCAUGCCACAUUGUCAACAUUCAUGUGUGGGUACUUGGUGCAUCCCGCUGUAUCAUUCUUCUUGUUUGUUCUGUAAACAAGACUGUAUAUUGUAGACAAAGCCGAGUACUAAAAUUUGGAUAUGAUUGGUAUAAAUCUGUUGGCUGCUUGCUUGGAGUGUGGUAAAUCUGUUAGCACUUUUAGUUUGGGUCCUGUGACUGUAUCAAGGUUUAGGUUUGUUGCCAAAGGCAUUUCGAUUCUUUUGAAUAUGAAUAAAAAUUUAAAUGAAAAAUUGGUGGUAGAGCAUUCCAACCUAAUUUAAUUCAGAUAAGGAAUAGGAAUAGUUAGGAGUAGCUUUUGAAGUUUGAGGACUUAUUGCAGCUGAAAAAGGAAGUAGAAAUCUAUUCUGCUGCUAUCAUGUUAUGCUAACGAAGGAAAAAGGCGACUAGGAUUGUAUUGUUGUCCAGUUGAGCUAUAACUCCUGCAUCUUCAUUUCCAUUUCUACGUUUUUGUCGUAUAUGUAAGCCAGUUUGAUUGAGAAGGCUGUCUUGCUUUGUUGGUUUCCAAUUUCCACAUGCUUUCUUUGCUAAAUUUUUUUUAUGAAUUUAUCAUUGUGAACUAUGUGGUUUAUAAGUUUUUGGCAGUCUUUUUCAAUUUUUCCACCUUCUUUUAUACGCUACAAAGAACGAUUUAGACUAAAGCUGUUUAAUGU
Durio zibethinus is the source of this 3955-nucleotide non-coding RNA. NCBI's taxonomy places the organism in Eukaryota, Viridiplantae, Streptophyta, Magnoliopsida, Malvales, Malvaceae. The record is from RefSeq and is a predicted model, not a curated record.